RNAcentral lists this small RNA (28 nucleotides) under Bombyx mori (domestic silkworm). RNAcentral's name for it is "ovarian small RNA-22814". The record is from RNAcentral. Lineage: Eukaryota; Metazoa; Arthropoda; Insecta; Lepidoptera; Bombycidae.
UAGGUUGUUCAGGAAAAUAAACUGCGAC